RNAcentral lists this transfer RNA (69 nucleotides) under Rugitermes sp. A TB-2014. Its description in RNAcentral is "tRNA-Tyr". It matches the Rfam family "tRNA". From Rfam's summary of the family: Transfer RNA (tRNA) molecules are approximately 80 nucleotides in length. Their secondary structure includes four short double-helical elements and three loops (D, anti-codon, and T loops). RNAcentral also lists the same sequence under 1 other name. Lineage: Eukaryota; Metazoa; Arthropoda; Insecta; Blattodea; Kalotermitidae. The record is from RNAcentral.
AGUAGAGUGGCUGAGAUCAAUAAGGUGAUAGAUUGUAAAUCUAUUAAGGGGAUAAAUACCCCUCUACUA